Molecule: ribosomal RNA, 468 nt
Filed under: uncultured bacterium
Lineage: Bacteria
Description: partial 16S ribosomal RNA
Rfam family: Bacterial small subunit ribosomal RNA
Source: RNAcentral
GACGAACGCUGGCGGCGUGCUUAACACAUGCAAGUCGAACGGAAAGGCCCUGCUUUUGUGGGGUGCUCGAGUGGCGAACGGGUGAGUAACACGUGAGUAACCUGCCCUUGACUUUGGGAUAACUUCAGGAAACUGGGGCUAAUACCGGAUAGGAGCUCCUGCUGCAUGGUGGGGGUUGGAAAGUUUCGGCGGUUGGGGAUGGACUCGCGGCUUAUCAGCUUGUUGGUGGGGUAGUGGCUUACCAAGGCUUUGACGGGUAGCCGGCAUGAGAGGGUGACCGGCCACAUUGGGACUGAGAGACGGCCCAGACUCCUACGGGAGGCAGCAGUGGGGAAUAUUGCACAAUGGGAGGAAGCCUGAUGCAGCAACGCCGCGUGCGGGAUGACGGCCUUCGGGUUGUAAACCGCUUUCGCCUGUGACAAAGCGUGAGUGACGGUAAUGGGUAAAGAAGCACCGGCUAACUACGUG